AGUGAACGCUGGCGGUAGGCCUAACACAUGCAAGUCGAACGACAACACAGUAAGAUCGUGCUCUUACGGGUGGCGGCUGGCGGGCGGGUGAGACGUACAUCGGCUACUACUUUUACGGGGGGAACAACGUGGGACAACUUACAAUACUACCUCAUAUGUCCUACGGGUUGAAUCAAGGGAGCUUCAGAGCUUUCCCGUCUGUUAUAGCCGGAGUCGGAUUAGCUAGUUGGGUGGGUAAAGGCACACCAAGGCGACGAUGCGUAGCUGGUCUGAGAGGAUGAUCAGCCACACUGGAACUGAGACACGGUCCAGACUCCUACGGGAGGCAGCAGUGGGGAAUAUUGGGCAAUGGGCGCAAGCCUGACGGAGCCAUGCCGCGUGAGUGAUGAAGGUCUUCGGGUUGUAAAGCUCUGUUGUUGGGAAAGAAAAGCUGCGGGAGAAUCCAUGGCUGUUUUGACGGUACCCAAAGAGUAAGCCCCGGCUAACUUCGUG
RNAcentral lists this ribosomal RNA (492 nucleotides) under uncultured bacterium. RNAcentral's name for it is "partial 16S ribosomal RNA". It matches the Rfam family "Bacterial small subunit ribosomal RNA", at positions 29 to 507 of the family's 1533-position model. The record is from RNAcentral.